This 500-nucleotide ribosomal RNA is filed under the name uncultured Sphingobacteriales bacterium. Its description in RNAcentral is "bacterial SSU rRNA". It matches the Rfam family "Bacterial small subunit ribosomal RNA", at positions 903 to 1382 of the family's 1533-position model. Lineage: Bacteria; Pseudomonadati; Bacteroidota; Sphingobacteriia; Sphingobacteriales. The record is from RNAcentral.
CGCCUUGCCAGCCGCUCAGAACUUAAAGGAAUUGACGGGGCCCGCACAAGCGGUGGAGCAUGUGGUUUAAUUCGAUGAUACGCGAGGAACCUUACCUGGGCUCAAAUGUAUGUUGACGUAUUCUGAAAGGGAUACUUCUUCGGACAAUAUACAAGGUGCUGCAUGGUUGUCGUCAGCUCGUGCCGUGAGGUGUCGGGUUAAGUCCCAUAACGAGCGCAACCCCUAUCAUUAGUUGCCAUCAGGUCAAGCUGGGGACUCUAAUGAAACUGCCUACGCAAGUAGUGAGGAAGGUGGGGAUGACGUCAAAUCAGCACGGCCCUUACGUCCAGGGCUACACACGUGCUACAAUGGCCGGUACAGAGUGAAGCGAAACCGCGAGGUGAAGCAAAACGCAGAAAGCCGGUCUCAGUACGGAUUGGAGUCUGAAACUCGACUUCAUGAAGUUGGAAUCGCUAGUAAUCGCGCAUCAGCAUGGCGCGGUGAAUACGUUCCCGGGCCUU